Pollicipes pollicipes is the source of this 362-nucleotide long non-coding RNA. RefSeq lists it as uncharacterized. Lineage: Eukaryota; Metazoa; Arthropoda; Thecostraca; Pollicipedomorpha; Pollicipedidae. The transcript is spliced from 3 exons. The record is from RefSeq and is a predicted model, not a curated record.
ACGCCUGGGCCCAACAGGCUAUGCGCCCUAAACCAACGACAACAGCAACAUUAAUCGUAUGUGGGGUGCCGGUUGCGUAGUGGUUAAUGCAUCUGCGUUAGCAAAUGCGCGUCUGGGAAACCAGAGGACUUCAACAGUAUGUCAAAUCAUCAGAAACAUGACAGUUGCUGCAUGGGCCACCCUGCUGUUCCUUCGGUCACACAGACUUUGGAUGAAAUGGAGUGGGAGAGAGGCAUCUGGCCAGCAGCACUGGAAGGUGACAUGGCCCGGCUGGAGCUACUCCUGGGUCGUGGCUCUGCAGCUGACCGAGCUGACCAGGCUGGCUACACUGCGCUACACUAUGCAGCACGUGCUGGCCAGCU